AUUGAACGCUGGCGGCAGGCCUAACACAUGCAAGUCGAACGGUAACAGGAAGCAGCUUGCUGCUUCGCUGACGAGUGGCGGACGGGUGAGUAAUGUCUGGGAAACUGCCUGAUGGAGGGGGAUAACUACUGGAAACGGUAGCUAAUACCGCAUAACGUCGCAAGACCAAAGAGGGGGACCUUAGGGCCUCUCGCCAUCGGAUGUGCCCAGAUGGGAUUAGCUAGUAGGUGGGGUAACGGCUCACCUAGGGGACGAUCCCUAGCUGGUCUGAGAGGAUGACCAGCCACACUGGAACUGAGACACGGUCCAGACUACUACGGGAGGCAGCAGUGGGGAAUAUUGCACAAUGGGCGCAAGCCUGAUGCAGCCAUGCCGCGUGUAUGAAGAAGGCCUUCGGGUUGUAAAGUACUUUCAGCGGGGAGGAAGGGAGUAAAGUUAAUACCUUUGCUCAUUGACGUUACCCGCAGAAGAGGCACCGGCUAACUCCGUG
RNAcentral lists this ribosomal RNA (490 nucleotides) under uncultured bacterium. RNAcentral's name for it is "partial 16S ribosomal RNA". It matches the Rfam family "Bacterial small subunit ribosomal RNA", at positions 30 to 507 of the family's 1533-position model. The record is from RNAcentral.